Molecule: ribosomal RNA, 1069 nt
Filed under: Pupa strigosa
Lineage: Eukaryota; Metazoa; Mollusca; Gastropoda; Acteonidae
Description: large subunit ribosomal RNA (lrRNA)
Rfam family: Bacterial large subunit ribosomal RNA
Source: RNAcentral
UCUAGCGUCCUUAUUAAAUUUAGAACUACUUAUUUGCUACCCCGAAUAUCCAGUUAAUAUUUACUUAGCCGCAAGGUCACUACUGUGCUAAUUUCACUUUUAAUUAUUGUACCUUUUGCAUAAUGGUUAUACAAGCAGCAUUUUCUUUGAAAACUUCCCGAAAUAAGAUGAGCUAAAGCUUCUCAUACCCUUGGGGUACACAUUCAUAGCGUAGCAUUGCUGUGAUAAAUAGGUGGCUUUAGGGGCGACACACCUGUCAAGUCUUAUAAUAUCUGGAAAUAAGCCAAAGACAUUCAGUGUCACUUAACUCAAUCCCAAGGUAUCGAGAUCUUGGGAGCAAAAUAUCUUAAGCUUAUAAUUUUAUGUCCUAGGAUAAUAACUUUAGUUAUAUAAGUUUAUUUAACAUAAAUAUUUACUUAUAUUUUGUUUACAGCUUAUAGAUAUUUUUAACCAACGACCAAUAUACUAUUCUGUGUAAAUAAGUAAUAUUGUAAUUAAAUUAAAUAAAGGAACUCGGCAAAUAUCGGUCCCCUCGACUGUUUAACAAAAACAUAGUUUAAAGAUGUAAAAUUUUAAAUUCAGCCUGCCCAAUGCUUUUAUAGUUAACGGCCGCGGUACUCUGACCGUGCUAAGGUAGCAUAAUCAGUUGUCUUUUAAAUGAAGACUAGAAUGAAUGGCUAAACGGGGGGGAACUGUCUCUAUUUAAGUUCAUUGAAAUUACUUUGGAGGUGAAAAAGCCUUUAAAACCAUAAAAGACGAGAAGACCCCGGGAGUUUUAUAAAUUUUGUUGGGGCGACAAGAGAGCAGGAUUAUAAACCUCUCCUUUUUAUUUUAAGCACAAGCCGACAUUAGUAAGCGAGAGAAAACUACCCCGGGGAUAACAGCAUAAUUUUUCAAAAAGCUUGUGACCUCGAUGUUGGACUAGGGAAUCCAUAAGCGAGCUGCCUAUGUGUUUUGUUCUGUUCGAACGGCGAACCCUACAUGAUCUGAGUUCAGACCGGCGUAAGCCAGGUCAGAUUCUAUCUUUCUAGCACUCUAUUUUAGUACGAAAGGACCAAUUAGAGGUUAU